GCCUAUAGCUCAGCGGUUAGAGCGCCACGCUUAUAACGUGGAUGUCGAUGGUUCGAUUCCAUCUAGGCCC
RNAcentral lists this transfer RNA (70 nucleotides) under marine eukaryotic metagenome. It matches the Rfam family "tRNA". Rfam says of the family: Transfer RNA (tRNA) molecules are approximately 80 nucleotides in length. Their secondary structure includes four short double-helical elements and three loops (D, anti-codon, and T loops). Further hydrogen bonds mediate the characteristic L-shaped molecular structure. tRNAs have two regions of fundamental functional importance: the anti-codon, which is responsible for specific mRNA codon recognition, and the 3' end, to which the tRNAs corresponding amino acid is attached (by aminoacyl-tRNA synthetases). tRNAs cope with the degeneracy of the genetic code in two manners: having more than one tRNA (with a specific anti-codon) for a particular amino acid; and 'wobble' base-pairing, i.e. permitting non-standard base-pairing at the 3rd anti-codon position. The record is from RNAcentral.